GGGGCUGUAGCUCAGUGGCAGAGCACUUGCCUAGCAGAGAGGCCCUGAGUUUAAUCCCCAGCACCCCCC
RNAcentral lists this transfer RNA (69 nucleotides) under Ictidomys tridecemlineatus (thirteen-lined ground squirrel). RNAcentral's name for it is "Spermophilus tridecemlineatus (thirteen-lined ground squirrel) tRNA". It matches the Rfam family "tRNA". From Rfam's summary of the family: Transfer RNA (tRNA) molecules are approximately 80 nucleotides in length. Their secondary structure includes four short double-helical elements and three loops (D, anti-codon, and T loops). The record is from Rfam by way of RNAcentral. Lineage: Eukaryota; Metazoa; Chordata; Mammalia; Rodentia; Sciuridae.